RNAcentral lists this transfer RNA (69 nucleotides) under Cordylochernes scorpioides. RNAcentral describes it as "tRNA-Gly". It matches the Rfam family "tRNA". Rfam says of the family: Transfer RNA (tRNA) molecules are approximately 80 nucleotides in length. Their secondary structure includes four short double-helical elements and three loops (D, anti-codon, and T loops). Further hydrogen bonds mediate the characteristic L-shaped molecular structure. tRNAs have two regions of fundamental functional importance: the anti-codon, which is responsible for specific mRNA codon recognition, and the 3' end, to which the tRNAs corresponding amino acid is attached (by aminoacyl-tRNA synthetases). tRNAs cope with the degeneracy of the genetic code in two manners: having more than one tRNA (with a specific anti-codon) for a particular amino acid; and 'wobble' base-pairing, i.e. permitting non-standard base-pairing at the 3rd anti-codon position. The record is from RNAcentral. Lineage: Eukaryota; Metazoa; Arthropoda; Arachnida; Pseudoscorpiones; Chernetidae.
GCUUCCGGUUCAGUGGUAGAAUGCUCGCCUGCCACGCGGGCUACCCGGGUUCGAUUCCCGGCCGAUGCA